This 997-nucleotide ribosomal RNA is filed under the name Staphylococcus aureus. RNAcentral's name for it is "bacterial LSU rRNA". It matches the Rfam family "Bacterial large subunit ribosomal RNA", at positions 201 to 1197 of the family's 2925-position model. The record is from RNAcentral. Lineage: Bacteria; Bacillati; Bacillota; Bacilli; Caryophanales; Staphylococcaceae.
UCUUAGUACCCGGAGGAAGAGAAAGAAAAUUCGAUUCCCUUAGUAGCGGCGAGCGAAACGGGAAGAGCCCAAACCAACAAGCUUGCUUGUUGGGGUUGUAGGACACUCUAUACGGAGUUACAAAGGACGACAUUAGACGAAUCAUCUGGAAAGAUGAAUCAAAGAAGGUAAUAAUCCUGUAGUCGAAAAUGUUGUCUCUCUUGAGUGGAUCCUGAGUACGACGGAGCACGUGAAAUUCCGUCGGAAUCUGGGAGGACCAUCUCCUAAGGCUAAAUACUCUCUAGUGACCGAUAGUGAACCAGUACCGUGAGGGAAAGGUGAAAAGCACCCCGGAAGGGGAGUGAAAUAGAACCUGAAACCGUGUGCUUACAAGUAGUCAGAGCCCGUUAAUGGGUGAUGGCGUGCCUUUUGUAGAAUGAACCGGCGAGUUACGAUUUGAUGCAAGGUUAAGCAGUAAAUGUGGAGCCGUAGCGAAAGCGAGUCUGAAUAGGGCGUUUAGUAUUUGGUCGUAGACCCGAAACCAGGUGAUCUACCCUUGGUCAGGUUGAAGUUCAGGUAACACUGAAUGGAGGACCGAACCGACUUACGUUGAAAAGUGAGCGGAUGAACUGAGGGUAGCGGAGAAAUUCCAAUCGAACCUGGAGAUAGCUGGUUCUCUCCGAAAUAGCUUUAGGGCUAGCCUCAAGUGAUGAUUAUUGGAGGUAGAGCACUGUUUGGACGAGGGGCCCCUCUCGGGUUACCGAAUUCAGACAAACUCCGAAUGCCAAUUAAUUUAACUUGGGAGUCAGAACAUGGGUGAUAAGGUCCGUGUUCGAAAGGGAAACAGCCCAGACCACCAGCUAAGGUCCCAAAAUAUAUGUUAAGUGGAAAAGGAUGUGGCGUUGCCCAGACAACUAGGAUGUUGGCUUAGAAGCAGCCAUCAUUUAAAGAGUGCGUAAUAGCUCACUAGUCGAGUGACACUGCGCCGAAAAUGUACCGGGGCUAAACAUAUUACCGA